GGGGACUUAGCUCAGUGGUAGAGCGCUUGCCUAGGAAGCGCAAGGCCCUGGGUUCGGUCCCCAGCUCCG
This is a non-coding RNA of Rattus norvegicus (Norway rat), 69 nucleotides long. The record is from Rfam. NCBI's taxonomy places the organism in Eukaryota, Metazoa, Chordata, Mammalia, Rodentia, Muridae.